Molecule: unclassified non-coding RNA, 1805 nt
Filed under: Saccoglossus kowalevskii
Lineage: Eukaryota; Metazoa; Hemichordata; Enteropneusta; Harrimaniidae
Description: uncharacterized LOC100372392, transcript variant X3
Source: RNAcentral
GCCAUCUUGGAAGUGAUCAUAUUCGAGCUCGGCAAAAUGGGCCGAGAACAGACUCCGACUUCAGAAGAAGCUCUUUCCCGGGCCGCAUCAAGACUGGACGCCGAAAAAGAUGAAAAAUCACAUAGUCGGAGAGGCAGUGCCCUUGGUAGUCGAGCACCAAGUCGUGCUAAAAGUCGUGGUAGUCUCACCGAAAACAAAAAGACAAUCAGCAGACCAAGCAGUCGAACCGGUUCUGGCAAGAGGCCUGAUAGCAAAAUUUCCAGUCGAUCUGAGAAAGAGAAUAUUGAAAGCGACGAUGACACAAGGACGAGAGCUACAUCAGAACAGGACAUACUGAGUGAAAACGGCUGGGACACGGACCUUGAAGUUGAAGGAACCUCUAGGAGAAAAACCAAGGAAUCAUAUGAUGCAUCUGGUAGAACGACGUAUAAAGAAGCAUGUAAGAUGAAUGGUGUUGUUCCUGUCUCAUACUUCCUGAGGCAUAUUGUAGAUUCUGAGCUUACUAUGAAACAUCAUGGUCUUGGUCCUGCUGGAGCUAGAGCUAUAGCCAUAACUCUUGUUGCAAAUACUACUAUUUUAAAAUUGAAUCUUGCUGACAAUUGGUUGGAUUCAGAAGGUGGGCAGGCAGUGGCUGAUAUGCUAAAGGAGAACUGUUAUAUAGCUGAAUUAGAUCUUUCAGACAAUCGUUUGAGUGAUGACGGUGCUAAAGCUAUGGCUGACAUGUUGAAAGAGAAUGUUAAUCUACACAGUGUUACACUGGCUGGUAAUGGUUUUGGUGAUAAGAGUGCUGAAGGCUUUGCUGAAGUUAUAUUGCAAAACAGCAAACUAGAGAACAUGAACCUGAGCCGAAACAGUUUCAGUGAAGCAGCCGGACUGUUGCUGGGACCAGCCAUUUCUGAAAACAUCACCAUCCGACAACUUGAUUUAAGCUGGAACCAUAUACGAAGGAAAGGGGCUGUGGCAUUAGCUAAGGGCAUUGGAAGCAAUAUUGGUUUGCGGAAGGUAGAUUUAUCCUGGAAUGGUCUUGGCAAUGAAGGUGCAUUGGCCAUUGGGGAAGCCUUGAAAAUGAAUAACUCACUUGAAGAACUAGACUUAACGAAUAACAGAAUAUCUCCCGAGGGAGCUGUACUUUUAGCAAAAGGACUUGCAGUAAAUGAGACGUUAAGAGUGUUGAAGGUCGGUAAGAAUCCCAUGCAAACUGCUGGUUGCUAUGGCAUCGUGAAAGCAGUUAAAGAAAACGCAAACACAGCAAUAGAACAACUAGAUUUUUCAGACAUUCAAGUGAACAAGGACUUUGAUGAGCUAUUCAUGCAAUUGAAAGAAGUGCGUCCCGAUAUCAAAGUUAAACAUGGUGGCUCCGAAGAGGAGAAAAAGAAGAAAGCAAAAGUUAAUCCCAUGCAGAAACUGCAGAAAUAUAUACAGAAGAACAACCUGAGACUGGUGGAUUUCUUUAACAAGUUUGACAAGGAUGGCAGUAUGAGCGUGUCAUAUGAAGAAUUUAGGGAAGGCCUUGAGGAAACUGGUAUUGAUAUGUCAGGUGAAGAAGUAGAAAUGUUAAUUGCUGAACUUGACAGGGAUGGAGAUGGUGACAUCAACUACAGACUUAUUACACUGCGGUUGUGAAUUAUACCUGGGCUAUGUCAAGGAAAAGGCUGCUUACAACAACAAGCCUGAUAAGUGAAUUGGUAAUGACAACAUCUGAAUAUACACAGAAGGUCAGGAAAGAAAAGCUACUGCUGGCAGAAGCUAUACAAUCAAUGGAAACGUGAUUUUAGCUAAAAAUAGCUAUAACAUGGAAUACCCCC